Long non-coding RNA from Xiphophorus couchianus (Monterrey platyfish), 373 nucleotides. RefSeq lists it as uncharacterized. The record is from RefSeq and is a predicted model, not a curated record. The transcript has 2 exons. Lineage: Eukaryota; Metazoa; Chordata; Actinopteri; Cyprinodontiformes; Poeciliidae.
CGUCGUGGGUGGUCAACAUUUCCUCAGCUCUGCGGUGGGACUCCAAGGCUUUUGUGGUGUAGAUAUCCUGAGGCAACUCAGAUUUGCGUCUCACCAUGGGCCGCUCUUUACGCUGCUCCCCCUGCAACUGAGUUGCGCCCUCCUCAACUGCCCUUUUUAACCUCUGUACAUCUUCUAUGAAAGGGACAUCCGUUUCCAUAGCAACGGGACUUAUGAUGUCAUAGGAAUCAAGAUACAAACAGAACUGGAUCGCAAAGAGAGGGAAGCAAGAAGAAGAAGAUGGAGAAAGGAGUUUCAGUGGCAUGCAAAGGAGAAGAAGAAAUCAAAGCUAAUCUUCAAAACUCUUCACUUCUGGGGCAAAUCUUUAAAAAAA